RNAcentral lists this ribosomal RNA (257 nucleotides) under uncultured Oscillospiraceae bacterium. Its description in RNAcentral is "partial 16S ribosomal RNA". It matches the Rfam family "Bacterial small subunit ribosomal RNA", at positions 1127 to 1382 of the family's 1533-position model. Lineage: Bacteria; Bacillati; Bacillota; Clostridia; Eubacteriales; Oscillospiraceae. The record is from RNAcentral.
AGCGUUGGGCACUCUAGCCAGACUGCCGGUGAUAAAUCGGAGGAAGGUGGGGACGACGUCAAAUCAUCAUGCCCUUUAUGUCCUGGGCUACACACGUACUACAAUGGCCGUUACAACGGGAAGCGAAGGAGCAAUCCGGAGCAAAUCCCUUAAAGGCGGUCCCAGUUCAGAUUGUGGGCUGAAACUCGCCCACAUGAAGGCGGAAUUGCUAGUAACCGCGCGUCAGCUAUAGUGCGGUGAAUACGUUCCCGGGGCUU